RNAcentral lists this ribosomal RNA (465 nucleotides) under Vreelandella stevensii. Its description in RNAcentral is "partial 16S ribosomal RNA". It matches the Rfam family "Bacterial small subunit ribosomal RNA", at positions 338 to 795 of the family's 1533-position model. Lineage: Bacteria; Pseudomonadati; Pseudomonadota; Gammaproteobacteria; Oceanospirillales; Halomonadaceae. The record is from RNAcentral.
CCUACGGGUGGCAGCAGUGGGGAAUAUUGGACAAUGGGCGAAAGCCUGAUCCAGCCAUGCCGCGUGUGUGAAGAAGGCCUUCGGGUUGUAAAGCACUUUCAGUGGGGAAGAAAGCCUUGGGGCUAAUACCCUCGAGGAAGGACAUCACCCACAGAAGAAGCACCGGCUAACUCCGUGCCAGCAGCCGCGGUAAUACGGAGGGUGCGAGCGUUAAUCGGAAUUACUGGGCGUAAAGCGCGCGUAGGCGGUCUGAUAAGCCGGUUGUGAAAGCCCCGGGCUCAACCUGGGAACGGCAUCCGGAACUGUCAGGCUAGAGUGCAGGAGAGGAAGGUAGAAUUCCCGGUGUAGCGGUGAAAUGCGUAGAGAUCGGGAGGAAUACCAGUGGCGAAGGCGGUCUUCUGGACUGACACUGACGCUGAGGUGUGAAAGCGUGGGUAGCAAACAGGAUUAGAUACCCGAGUAGUC